RNAcentral lists this ribosomal RNA (429 nucleotides) under uncultured Acidobacteriota bacterium. RNAcentral's name for it is "bacterial SSU rRNA". It matches the Rfam family "Bacterial small subunit ribosomal RNA", at positions 355 to 776 of the family's 1533-position model. The record is from RNAcentral. Lineage: Bacteria; Pseudomonadati; Acidobacteriota.
UGGGGAAUAUUGGACAAUGGGCGCAAGCCUGAUCCAGCAACGCCGCGUGGAGGACGAAGGUCUUCGGAUCGUAAACUCCUGUCAGACGGGACGAAGGUGCGCGGGUGAAUAAUCCGUGUACUUGACGGUACCGUCAGAGGAAGCCCCGGCUAACUCCGUGCCAGCAGCCGCGGUAAUACGGAGGGGGCGAGCGUUAUUCGGAAUUAUUGGGCGUAAAGGGCGCGUAGGCGGCUUGGCAAGUCAAAGGUGAAAUCCCUCGGCUCAACUGAGGAACUGCCUUUGAAACUGCUUGGCUCGAGUCCGGGAGGGGGUAGCGGAAUUCCCAGUGUAGCGGUGAAAUGCGUAGAUAUUGGGAGGAACACCAGUGGCGAAGGCGGCUACCUGGACCGGUACUGACGCUGAUGCGCGAAAGCGUGGGUAGCAAACAGG